GAUGAAGAACGUAGCGAAAUGCGAUAAGUAAUGCGAAUUGCAGAAUUCAGUGAAUCAUCGAAUCUUUGAACGCACAUUGCGCCCGCUAGUAUUCUGGCGGGCAUGCCUGUCUGAGCGUCAUUUCAACCCUCGCCCCCGGCUUUUGCUGGGAGCGGUGUUGGGGAUCGGCCGCCCGUCACUGGGAGGCCGGCCUCGAAAUAGAGUGGCGACCACGCCGUGUGCUCCUCUGCGUAGUAGUAAAUCACCUCGCAGGCGGACAGCGGUGCGGCCUGCCGUAAAACCCCCAACUCUUUCUGGUUGACCUCAGAUCAGGUAGGAAUACCCGCUGAACUUAAGCAUAUCAAUAAGCGGAGGA
Molecule: unclassified non-coding RNA, 355 nt
Filed under: soil metagenome
Description: partial contains 5.8S ribosomal RNA, internal transcribed spacer 2, and large subunit ribosomal RNA
Rfam family: 5.8S ribosomal RNA (bases 1-120)
Source: RNAcentral